Micropterus dolomieu (smallmouth bass) is the source of this 1605-nucleotide long non-coding RNA. RefSeq lists it as uncharacterized. The transcript is spliced from 4 exons. The record is from RefSeq and is a predicted model, not a curated record. Lineage: Eukaryota; Metazoa; Chordata; Actinopteri; Centrarchiformes; Centrarchidae.
UGCUCUGUCUGCAGGUCUGCGUUUGGUCUCGUGUCUCUUCUGCUUCAGGUUUUGUGGACUUACGAUUGUUGCCUUGUUCCUGUUUUGGAUCUCCGUGUGCUUCAUGAACUGGCUGCUUCACCUUUAGUCUGGGACCAAUUCUUCUUUUGUUUCAUGGCGAUGAACACUGAGAAGACUAGUUCCUCUACUCCUGUGUCUGCACUUUGAAAUGAUAACAGUAUUAGCAUGACUGCGUAGAAAACACACGAAGUCUGACACGCCCACCAAACGGGAGAAAACAUACCUCGAAGUCCGUUGUUCCAAAGAAACAUGUCGUUCAAUCAGAAAACACUUGAUGGUCCCCCGUGUCCGAACAGAAUUAGGUAUAAAAGCCUUCGUGUUUGCGGCACCUUCUGCUUGGAACCUUCUUCAGAACUCGUUGAAACUGACUGACAACUCUGAAGGAUCUGGAGCAGGUGAACAUUGGUCACAUGAUCAGCUGGUUUCACCACUGCAGAAGGGUGAGGAGUGAUUUGCUGAUAAAGAUGUUCAGAGAAACAAGUGAAGAGGAGGAAGCAGCUUCAUCAUGUCUCAGUUUGUCCACCAGAUGGAGACAAACACCAGGAAACCCUCAACACUGCAGGAGGAAAAUAAAACAAACCAUUCUGUUUGGUAAAUGGAAUUGGCAGCUUUAUUAAUAAUUUAUGCAUAUUUAGUCAUUUGGUUGGUAUAAAGCUGUAAAGUACAAAAGAUCAACAGAUAUCAGGUUACACUCACCAGCAUGAAAAGUGCUUCAGAAUAAAGUUUGAGUCCAGGUCAAACCAACAAACCGUGAAACAGCAAAAAAUUCAUAUCAUACCAUAAAUGUGAAAUGGUUCUACUUCCUGUCACCAUCUUGGUGUUCAAACCUCCCAUGAUUCUCCGCUGCUCUCAAGCAGCACGCGGAGCUGAGAGAAGAAGAAGAAGAAGAAGGAGAGAGAAAGUUCUGUCUCGUCAUGCGGUCUGUGAAGGCCUGACGGCGGCGUCCUGAAGAGACGAUCAGAGGACACGCCAGGAUUGGACAUCUGGAGCCGCCACUCAAACCUGCAUUCAUUAACCUCCUCUGUUAAUUAAUUAGUGACACGUCAGGUUCAAUUAGGAGCAAUUAAAGAGGCGGAAUGAUGUUAAUCGACUCUGAUCACGUCGCCUGUCAGACCUGACCGGGGGCAGUGCGGCCUGUCAGACGAGCACGAGGGCCUCGGAGAAUCAGCAUUCACGAUUUCACUUUAAAUCUUUAAUUACUUUUUCUCAUUAAUACAAUCAAUCAAUAAUAAAAUCUGGUGUUUCAUUAAAAAAGUGAGACUGAAACUUUGUUCUUCUUGUUCUCUCACCUGAUGUUUUCUCACGCAGAAACAUAAAGAGAGAAAUCCACAAAGAAGAAACGGGAAAUGACUUCAGACUGAAACAGCCUGCCCUGCAGUGAACGCAGCGUGUCGAGUUCAGUGUCUCCAGUUUCUGCCUGUUUCACUCUGCUGGUUGGACGUCAGGGCUCAGCUCACGAGGAGUGACGAUGUUGUGUUCACCAGAAGAGACCAGAAGAUAUUUGAACACUAUUUUAAAGAAAUAUUCGGGGUCUGGGGGUCUGAG